GCCACAUGAUGAUUUGAGUGUGUCAGUAGCUCUCUGAGCUGUGAUGACCUGUUCAUCUAUCACCCUUGUCUGAUGGCU
This is a small nucleolar RNA of Sparus aurata (gilthead seabream), 78 nucleotides long. Its record names the gene SNORD83. It matches the Rfam family "Small nucleolar RNA SNORD83". From Rfam's summary of the family: U83 (SNORD83) and U84 (SNORD84) are members of the C/D class of snoRNA which contain the C (UGAUGA) and D (CUGA) box motifs. They act as guanine methylation guides but lack complementarity to ribosomal RNA. NCBI's taxonomy places the organism in Eukaryota, Metazoa, Chordata, Actinopteri, Spariformes, Sparidae. The record is from Ensembl.